Molecule: non-coding RNA, 148 nt
Filed under: Chlorocebus sabaeus (green monkey)
Lineage: Eukaryota; Metazoa; Chordata; Mammalia; Primates; Cercopithecidae
Source: Rfam by way of RNAcentral
GCUGGGUGUGGUGGUGCAUGCCUGUAAUCCCAGCUACUUGGGAGGCUGAGGCAGGAGAAUCGCUUGAACCCAGGAGGUGGAGGUUGCGGUGAGCUGAGAUCAUGCCAUUGCACUCCACCCUGGAUGACAGAGUGAGACUCUGUCUCAA